AAUCACACCUAGGAUAGGGAGUGCGGUCUCACCACACUCUCAGCUCCUUUCACUUGGCUGCACCACUCAGGACCAACCCUGCUCACAGUGUUCCUGGGUGUCUCCGGUGUUAUUGUGAUUGCAGGUUGCUCAUCAACACAAGUGUUCAAUGUACUUACUCACCUCUCAACCCAUCACUCAAAUAACCCACAGCCUAGCACACCUAGCACACAGUAGGCUCUGGAAGCAAUGAACCCAGGAGAGAGAAGGACCAGCGAGCUCCAAGUGGAUGAGAGGUCUGAGCUGCAUCUGAAGAAAUACAAGAUAAGGACAUAAAGAACACCCUUCCCCAGCCAGGCUUCUGCACUUGGAAAACUGUGCAAGGUGUGCACAUGAGAGAAGAGCACUCAGAACCCAGGAAACCCUCCAACUUGGACACCCAGAUUAGGACAGAAAAGGAUCCCCAGAAGAGGGCAGCUGGCCUAAGGGUCUAGGUAUCUAGUAUCAACAACCUAGGGGAUGGGACAGUGCUACCUUUACCUCUCUGACUCCACCUGGCUCAGCAAGAUGUGAUGCCCACUGCAUGUUAGUUCCUGUGUAAAAGGGCCACCCUCUCAGGACAAGUGCAGACACAGAGGCGAUAAGAAAUCAAAGUUUGGAGAAAUAGGUCCCUGGAUGUACUACAUCAGACUCAAGCCUGCAGCUGCGGACUGGGAGUGCACUCUAGAUGCUGCUACGUCCUUGAAGCUGAUCAUCCAGAAGAAAAAAAAGCACCAUAGAAGCUUGAGGAUCAGAAGGACAACAGCCCUGCUCCAGUCACUCCAGAAGCUGACUGGUCUACGCAUGGCCGAAGCUUGAGGAGACUACAGCCUUGUUUCAGCUAUACUGGAGAGACUUGCAGAUCAAUCCUCUGUGAAAGAUAAACUUCCCACCAGGACUAAUGAACUAUUUCAACCUCUAAUAUACUUCUUAUAAUAUAAUGCAUCACAACCCCUUGCUUUUAGAUAUAUACCUAAUUCUUUGUUUGGUUUUUGCUACUGGUGGGAUAACAAAUAAAAAAUUUCAUUUAUCCUUUUUUUUCUUGCUUAGAUAAAUUUUCUAGGAUUUGUUUGGUGUUACUAGUUUGGCUUUGUUAAUUAAUGAUGCUGAACCUAUCCUAACUAAAAUUUUAGACUAUUAUUUAGUUUGGUUUCCUUUGAUAACCUUAAGGAAUUCUGUCCUACUCCUAUUUCAACCAUGGAGAUCAUGUGAACCAUAUGUCACGACAAUCCACUAUAACUAAGAGGUGGUAAAACAUAUAUUUAGGUCCUGUCCUGCCAGAGGAAUGCUAUAGAUGGAUGACUGUUUGGAAAGACAAAAGAGGUUCACUGGAAAGAAACUUUAUUUAGGAGGUCACCAAUCUUGGGGUGAAGAUAACUGGCCAACCCAGAGGAUUAUUGUCACUUAUUGUUCCACUACCUGGGCACAAAAUGGCAGUUGGAGUUAUACAACCCCUAUUUACAUGUUAAGCAGAAUUAUUCACUAACAAUCUGUACUAGAAAUUAUUAUUAAUCAGACUGCCAGAGCCUUUGACCUCCUAGCCACACAAUAAACCAGAUGCCAGUGGCUAAAUAUCCAAACUACUUGGCAUUAGAUUACCUAAUGGCUGAGGAAAGAUAAAUAUGUGGAGAGUUCAACAGCUCAGUUUGUUGCAUCCAAAUGGAUGACAAUAGACAAACAGUUAAGAAUAUAGCCAACAAGACAUAAGAACUAGUACAUGUGCUAGUUCAUACCUAGAAGGGCAUUAAAGUUUGGGUCCCAAACAUGCUUUUGAGAGAUGGCUGUCAAC
Molecule: non-coding RNA, 1807 nt
Organism: Ictidomys tridecemlineatus (thirteen-lined ground squirrel)
Lineage: Eukaryota; Metazoa; Chordata; Mammalia; Rodentia; Sciuridae
Source: RefSeq, a predicted model, not a curated record